UACGGAGGAUCCAAGCGUUAUCCGGAAUUACUGGGCGUAAAGAGUUGCGUAGGUGGCAUAGUAAGUUGAUAGUGAAAUCCUGGGGCUCAACCCCUUACCCAUUAUCAAAACUGCUAAGCUAGAGGACGAGAGAGGUACCUGGAAUUCCCAGUGUAGGAGUGAAAUCCGUAGAUAUUGGGAGGAACACCGAUGGCGUAAGCAGGGUACUGGCUCGUUCCUGACACUAAGGCACGAAAGCGUGGGUAGCAAACGGG
Molecule: ribosomal RNA, 254 nt
Filed under: uncultured bacterium
Lineage: Bacteria
Description: partial 16S ribosomal RNA
Rfam family: Bacterial small subunit ribosomal RNA
Source: RNAcentral